RNAcentral lists this ribosomal RNA (982 nucleotides) under uncultured bacterium. RNAcentral describes it as "bacterial SSU rRNA". It matches the Rfam family "Bacterial small subunit ribosomal RNA", at positions 69 to 1067 of the family's 1533-position model. The record is from RNAcentral.
GGAAGCUUUCGGGUGGAAUGAACUUAACUUAGCGGCGGACGGGUGAGUAACGCGUGGACAACCUACCCUGUACAGGGGGAUAACAAUGGGAAACCAUUGCUAAUACCCCAUAACACCUUUUAGGGGCAUCCCUUUAAGGUCAAAGAAUUUCGGUACAGGAUGGGUCCGCGUCUGAUUAGCUAGUUGGUGAGGUAAUGGCUCACCAAGGCGACGAUCAGUAGCCGGCCUGAGAGGGUGAACGGCCACACUGGAACUGAGACACGGUCCAGACUCCUACGGGAGGCAGCAGUGGGGAAUAUUGCACAAUGGGCGAAAGCCUGAUGCAGCAACGCCGCGUGAGCGAUGAAGGCUUUCGGGUCGUAAAGCUCUGUCCUAAGGGAAGAUAAUGACGGUACCUUAGGAGGAAGCCCCGGCUAACUACGUGCCAGCAGCCGCGGUAAUACGUAGGGGGCAAGCGUUAUCCGGAAUCAUUGGGCGUAAAGGGUGCGUAGGCGGCCCUAUAGGUCAGAGGUCAAAGGCUACGGCUCAACCGUAGUAAGCCUUUGAAACUGUAGGGCUUGAGUGCAGGAGAGGAGAGUGGAAUUCCUAGUGUAGCGGUGAGAUGCGUAGAUAUUAGGAGGAACACCAGUGGCGAAGGCGACUCUCUGGACUGCAACUGACGCUGAGGCACGAAAGCGUGGGGAGCGAACAGGAUUAGAUACCCUGGUAGUCCAUGCCGUAAACGAUGAGUGCUAGGUGUCGGGGGUCGAACCUCGGUGCCGCAGCUAACGCAUUAAGCACUCCGCCUGGGGAGUACGUUCGCAAGAAUGAAACUCAAAGGAAUUGACGGGGACCCGCACAAGCAGCGGAGCAUGUGGUUUAAUUCGAAGCAACGCGAAGAACCUUACCUGGACUUGACAUCCCUCGGACCGCUUUUUAACCAAAGCCUUCCCUUCGGGGACUGAGGUGACAGGUGGUGCAUGGUUGUCGUCAGCUCGUGUCG